CCUACGGUAGGCAGCAGUAGGGGAUAUUGCUCAAUGGAGGAAACCCUGAUGCAGCGACGCCGCGUGGGGGAUGAAGGUUUUCGGAUUGUAAACUCCUGUCGUUAGAGAAGAUAAUGACGGUAUCUAACGAAUAAGCACCGGCUAACUCCGUGCCAGCAGCCGCGGUAAUACGGAGGGUGCGAGCGUUACUCGGAAUUACUGGGCGUAAAGAGCGCGUAGGCGGGAUAGCAAGUCAGAUGUGAAAUCCUAUGGCUUAACCAGAGAGCUGCGUUUGAAACUGUUAUUCUAGAGUGUGGGAGAGGCAGGUGGAAUUCUUGGUGUAGGGGUAAAAUGCGUAGAGAUUAAGAGGAAUACUCGUUGCGAAGGCGACCGGCUAGAACAUAACUGACGCUGAGGCGCGAAAGCGUGGGGAGCAAACAGGAUUAGAUACCCCUGUAGUC
Molecule: ribosomal RNA, 440 nt
Filed under: uncultured bacterium
Lineage: Bacteria
Description: partial 16S ribosomal RNA
Rfam family: Bacterial small subunit ribosomal RNA
Source: RNAcentral